Molecule: ribosomal RNA, 253 nt
Filed under: uncultured bacterium
Lineage: Bacteria
Description: partial 16S ribosomal RNA
Rfam family: Bacterial small subunit ribosomal RNA
Source: RNAcentral
UACGUAGGGUGCGAGCGUUAAUCGGAAUUACUGGGCGUAAAGCGUGCGCAGGCGGUUUUGUAAGACAGGCGUGAAAUCCCCGGGCUUAACCUGGGAACUGCGCUUCUAACUGGCAGGCUUGAGUGUGGCAGAGGGGGGUGGAAUUCCACGUGUAGCAGUGAAAUGCGUAGAGAUGUGGAGGAACACCGAUGGCGAAGGCAGCCCCCUGGGCUAACACUGACGCUCAUGCACGAAAGCGUGGGGAGCAAACAGG